CCGAGUGAGGGUCCUUUUAGGGCCCAACCUCCCACCCGUGUCUACCGUACCGCGUUGCUUCGGCGGGCCCGCCAGAGCCUCGUCUCUGGCCGCCGGGGGGCUGUCUCUUGACGCCUCCGGGCCCGUGCCCGCCGGGGACCCUUGCGAACGCUGUCCUUGAAGGUUGCCGUCUGAGUGGAAUGAUAUAAUCAUUA
This 194-nucleotide unclassified non-coding RNA is filed under the name uncultured fungus. RNAcentral's name for it is "sequence contains ITS1, 5.8S rRNA gene". Lineage: Eukaryota; Fungi. The record is from RNAcentral.